AGCUUGCGGUUUAAUUGGAUUCAACGCCGGAAAUCUUACCGGGACCGACAGCAAUAUGAAGGCCAGGCUGAAGACUUUGCCGGAUUAGCUGAGAGGUGGUGCAUGGCCGUCGUCAGUUCGUACUGUGAAGCAUCCUGUUAAGUCAGGCAACGAGCGAGACCCACGCCCACAGUUGCCAGCGUACUCUCUGGAGUGACGGGUACACUGUGGGGACCGCCGCUGCUAAAGCGGAGGAAGGAAUGGGCAACGGUAGGUCAGUAUGCCCCGAAUAUCCCGGGCUACACGCGAGCUACAAUGGUCAGGACAAUGGGUAUCGACACCGAGAGGUGGAGGCAAUCUCCUAAACCUGUCCUUAGUUCGGAUUGUGGGCUGCAACUCGCCCACAUGAAGCUGGAAUCCGUAGUAAUCGCGUUUCAAAAUAGCGCGGUGAACUAUCGUCCCUGCUCCUU
Molecule: ribosomal RNA, 449 nt
Filed under: uncultured Methanolinea sp.
Lineage: Archaea; Methanobacteriati; Methanobacteriota; Methanomicrobia; Methanomicrobiales; Methanoregulaceae
Description: bacterial SSU rRNA
Rfam family: Archaeal small subunit ribosomal RNA
Source: RNAcentral